This 814-nucleotide ribosomal RNA is filed under the name Hamamotoa singularis. Its description in RNAcentral is "LSU rRNA". It matches the Rfam family "Eukaryotic large subunit ribosomal RNA", at positions 1 to 770 of the family's 3401-position model. The record is from RNAcentral. Lineage: Eukaryota; Fungi; Basidiomycota; Microbotryomycetes; Chrysozymaceae.
ACAUGAAAAGUUAGAAGCUUCAAACCCAUCUAGUCAUUCUUAAGAUUAGACCUCAGAUCAGGCAGGAUUACCCGCUGAACUUAAGCAUAUCAAUAAGCGGAGGAAAAGAAACUAACAAGGAUUCCCCUAGUAACGGCGAGUGAAGCGGGAAGAGCUCAAAUUUGUAAUCUGGUACUUUCAGUGCCCGAGUUGUAAUCUCGAGAAGUGUUUUCCGCGCCGGACCGCAUACAAGUCUGUUGGAAUACAGCGUCAUAGUGGUGAGAACCCCGUAACUGAUGCGGACGCCCGGUGCUUUGUGAUACACUUUCGAAGAGUCGAGUUGUUUGGGAAUGCAGCUCAAAUUGGGUGGUAAAUUCCAUCUAAAGCUAAAUAUUGGCGAGAGACCGAUAGCGAACAAGUACCGUGAGGGAAAGAUGAAAAGCACUUUGGAAAGAGAGUUAACAGUACGUGAAAUUGUUGGAAGGGAAACGCUUGAAGUCAGACUUGCUAUUUGGAGUUCAGCCGCAAGGUGUAUUCUUCAAUUUGCAGGCCAGCAUCAGUUUUUGGGGGUGGAAAAGGGUAUUGAGAAGGUAGCAGUUUCGGCUGUGUUAUAGCUCUUUACUGGAUUCAUCCUUGGGGACUGAGGAAUGCAGCGCGCUUUUUGCAAGGCUCUCGGGCUUUUCGCGCUUAGGAUGCUGGUAGAAUGGCUUUAAACGACCCGUCUUGAAACACGGACCAAGGAGUCUAACAUGCUUGCGAGUGUUUGGGUGUUAAACCCGGACGCGCAAUGAAAGUGAAUGGAGGUGGGAUCCGCAAGGUGCACCAUCGACCGAUC